UGGGGAAUAUUGCACAAUGGGCGCAAGCCUGAUGCAGCCAUGCCGCGUGUAUGAAGAAGGCCUUCGGGUUGUAAAGUACUUUCAGUCGGGAGGAAGGUGGUAAGGUUAAUAACCUUAUCAAUUGACGUUACCGACAGAAGAAGCACCGGCUAACUCCGUGCCAGCAGCCGCGGUAAUACGGAGGGUGCAAGCGUUAAUCGGAAUUACUGGGCGUAAAGCGCACGCAGGCGGUUGAUUGAGUCAGAUGUGAAAUCCCCGGGCUUAACCCGGGAAGUGCAUCUGAUACUGGUCAGCUAGAGUCUUGUAGAGGGGGGUAGAAUUCCAUGUGUAGCGGUGAAAUGCGUAGAGAUCUGGAGGAAUACCGGUGGCGAAGGCGGCCCCCUGGACAAAGACUGACGCUCAGGUGCGAAAGCGUGGGGAGCAAACAGG
Molecule: ribosomal RNA, 429 nt
Filed under: Chloroflexota bacterium
Lineage: Bacteria; Bacillati; Chloroflexota
Description: Chloroflexi bacterium partial 16S ribosomal RNA
Rfam family: Bacterial small subunit ribosomal RNA
Source: RNAcentral